CCCCUAUAUAAUCUAUAUGAUGUCCCUAUAGGAGAAGAGCAAACUGGAAAGUGAACUGGCCAAUUUCGGGCCCCGAAUCAACGACAUUAAAAGGAUCAUCCAGGGCCGGGAGAGGGAGAUGAGGGACCUGAAGGAGAAGAUGAACCAGGUGGAGGAUGAGGUUUUUGAGGAGUUUUGCCGUGAAAUCGGGGUCCGCAACAUCCGCGAGUUCGAGGAGGAAAAAGUGAAGAGACAGAACGAGAUCGCCAAAAAGAGGUGGAAAUCAGCCCAAAAAUGACACCAAAUCUGACCCAAAUCUGACCCAAAUCAGCCCAAAAACACCCCCAAAAUCAUCCAAAAAUCACACUGAAAUCACACAAAAAAACACCCGAAGAACACCCUUGAAAUCACACUAAAAUCACCCCUGAAAUCAAACUGAAAUCACACCAAAAUCAGACUGAAACCACAC
This is a non-coding RNA of Coturnix japonica (Japanese quail), 448 nucleotides long. The record is from RefSeq and is a predicted model, not a curated record. NCBI's taxonomy places the organism in Eukaryota, Metazoa, Chordata, Aves, Galliformes, Phasianidae.